RNAcentral lists this transfer RNA (87 nucleotides) under Candidatus Buchananbacteria bacterium. RNAcentral describes it as "tRNA-Leu". It matches the Rfam family "tRNA". Rfam says of the family: Transfer RNA (tRNA) molecules are approximately 80 nucleotides in length. Their secondary structure includes four short double-helical elements and three loops (D, anti-codon, and T loops). The record is from RNAcentral. Lineage: Bacteria; Candidatus Buchananiibacteriota.
GCCCCAAUGGUGGAAUUGGCAGACACGACGGACUUAAAAUCCGUUGACUUUAGAGUCAUAAGGGUUCAAAUCCCUUUUCGGGCACCA